This 30-nucleotide non-coding RNA is filed under the name Mus musculus (house mouse). Lineage: Eukaryota; Metazoa; Chordata; Mammalia; Rodentia; Muridae. The record is from RNAcentral.
UGCCAAUGAUAAAUGUAGAACCACGUUCAG